Non-coding RNA from Chrysemys picta bellii (western painted turtle), 5494 nucleotides. NCBI's taxonomy places the organism in Eukaryota, Metazoa, Chordata, Testudines, Emydidae. The record is from RefSeq and is a predicted model, not a curated record.
GGCGGCCCGGUGCUUGAGCGAGUGCAAAGCGCCCCGCGCCGCCGCCGCCGCCUCUGCUUCAGCGAAGCCCCGUGACGCGAUGACACAAGGGCGGCAGGGCAGCGCUCGGACGUCAGGGGGGCCCGACUCCAGCGGUACAACCGCGCCUGCCGUAACACCACAACGGCUGGGUAACAGCGAGAAGUGCCAUCUGCGUGGCUUUCCACCGCAGCGCUGGCUUGCAGGGCACCGUACUGACAGGAGUCCGGCCUGGUCUGCCCACAACGGGCCGACACGGCCUAGGCCUCCUUUCGCCCCCGGCCUGCUGCUUAGCUACCGGGUCUCCGGCUGUUCCCGCCCCCUGUCCUCGCCCAUGGGGUAGCGGCAGUAGGGCGGCGGCAUCAGAAUUCUCAGAGACAGCCGCGGCUCAGAAAGCCCCACACACAUCCCCCAAAUUCUUACUACUAUAGAACUUUUAUACAACUGUCCAUACAUGAGAUGUUAUGUAACCAGCCGGUUCCCAUCUGUUACUAUCUGCUAUUGAUUCAGAGAUCAAAAGGAAUAUUAACAUUUAGAUGAAACUUGGAUGCAAUAUUAUCAUUGAAGUUUGUAGUAAACCAUCUAUGGAACUAAUUAAUGGAUAAUUACAUUAUGAUGAUGAAUGCAACUAUUAUCUGUGUAUAUGUAGGAAAUAGAGGUUUUACUUCAAAGCCACAAUGCUCUUCACCUAAGGAAUGCCUGCUGUCAAGAGACUAUCAAUGUUUUGCCAUAGAUCUAUAAAAGAACGCCAAGGCCCUGAUCCUGUUAUCUCAGAUCUGCUUAAACUUGGUCAGUGGAAGCUUGAGUCACAAGACUGAGGUCUCCAGUGCCAGUCUGGAUUACCCUGCUACUUCUCAGGGAAGAAUUUAUACAGACUCUGCAUAUGGAUUUGCCUACUGGAUUAUAACCUAGGGAACUGAUUGUGAAAGAACUUUUUGCAACUCAGCAGCUCACCAUCUCUAAUGUGAAACUGACCCAAGAACUUUAUACAUACAUAUAUGAAUAAUGAUCUUUUAACCACAAUACUCUCCUCUCUCUCUCCCCUUUUAAAAUAAAUCUUAGUUUAGUUAAGGAGAAUUGCCUGUAAGCAUCUAUUUAGGUAAGAUCUGAAAUAUUCAUUGACCUGGUGGGUAAUGUAUCCCAUACCUUGGAACUGGAAGAACUUUAUAUAUGUUCAACAAGAUUUUCAGUAAUCCUCAUCAUAUUUAAGUGACUGUCUGGGUGGGAGCCCCAGGUUAGAUUGCUUUAAGGGAGCUGUGUUUUUGGCUUCUGGGAAACUAGUGAAGUAUAGUAGAUGGUGUUUUGUUGCUGUCUUGGUGAACCAAAUCAUCAGAAUAACCACCAGUUUUGGGGAUAGUCUGCCCCAUUCUUUGGGGUUUGCACUAAUUAAGCAAUCUCAGUGUGGCCCCUCCAGGCAACAUGGGUCACAGUCGGUCUCUUAUUUUAGUUAAAUUGAAUCUUUCCCUCCUCUUCCCCGACAGCACAGACAGAUGAAGGGUGAGGGCUGCCCUAUCAUAUGGAAUGGCAUGAAGAAUUCACUGGGAACACCAGCCAGCACCACCAUGUUACGAGCUGUAGUCUCUCUCUCUCCCCCACCCAUAGCAUUCCACAUAGCACACUAAGGAUAUGAUACCACGACAUUGGCCAGAAAGUCCUGUCAUAUAGUACUCCCAUGGUAUCAGACACAAGCACACUAAUUGGGUCUGAUAUAACAUUAAGUGUUAAUAUGAAGAAGCUGCUGGGGACAGGUUUAUAAUGCAACAGAACUAAAAAGACACAUUGGCAGCCUCCAUGACCUCCAAACUAAAUAUAAUUAAGCUACAUGCUACUGUCAAAAUGAAGAAGGAUAAUAUUUUGAAAUAUUAUGGUUGCAAAACAGAUUUAGUUUAAUGCAACACACAAAUUACUGUUCCAUAUACCCGACUAACAAGAUCUGUUAUGAAAAACAGUAUACCUUGAAGUCAGAUGGCAUAAGCCUAGUUGCAAAAUAUUAUAUCCUUCUUCAUUUUGACAGUAGCAUAUAGCUUAAUUAUAUUUUUCAUAAGAAAUGUCUCUGGUCCCACCCCAAGAAUAAGAUCAGAUUGUCUGGCAGAGCAGGGAAGUUUCACAUAGUUUACACUUUUUAAACAAACCACUAGUGAAUUAAAGAGACAAGGUGGGUGAACUAAUAUAUUUUAAUGGACCAACUUCCCUUGGUGAAAGAAGAUUUCGAGCCUAGAGAGCUCUUCUUCAGGUCAAAGCUUCUCUUUCACCAACAGAAGUUGGUCCAUUAAAAUAUAUUACCUCAUCCACCUCAUCUCUCUAAUAUGCUUGGACCAACGUGGCUACAACAAUGAUACAAACACCAAUAAAUUAUCAGCAUCAGUGAUAUAUAUUGAACUUGGUUAAUUCUUCGCAUUCUUACCAAUAUUUCAAGUGUCUAUGGAGUUUUUCAAAUCCUUGUGUACUAAAUGAUAGUUUUCAAAUACAAAAACAAAGUAGUGGCCAUCAGACCUCCUCUCUGAAAAAAAGAUUACUCAUUUCUUGGACAGUUAAAGUGAAGUGUAGUCAAUGCCACAAGACUAAGUAGCUCAUGGCAUACCAGGACCCUCUGCCCACGUUGUGUUUCUUAGAUCACUUUAGAGUAAAGUGUACAGCUAGGGUUGUUUACUGAUUCAUCUUUCAGUUGUGGUGUCUCAUAUAUCCUCCAAAUUGACACUGAAGCAGGAUUACAGUGCUGAAGGUAACAUGUUAAGAUUUGCUAACUAUCUCCUAUAGGACUCAUACACAAAGCUAAGGAUUUGUAAAACAGAGAUAAGUUUCUGCCCAAUCAUCCCAAUUUAACAGCCACAAAUAGUAAAGUCUAUUCAGCAUCAAGGAAUCUUUAUAAAUACACACCAAACAACCUAGUCCAAAGAAUGAACAAACUUCUGCAAGCCCAGGCAUCAACCCAGCCUUCAAAGCCCUCCCUACAUACAUGCUCCUCCUCCGGUCCCUCCAGCAGCAGUUCAUAUGCCUUUCCCUUUUCCAUGGGUGUUCAGUAGAGGGGAAAGGAAAGACAGUGUUUCUUUGUGUGUGCUGAUGACUCAGUAGUGACCCUGCACCCUGUCACAAAGAUAGCUUAUAUGCUUACAGCAUGAAAAACCACCCAUGAUUAGACUGUUGGUCAAGGUCACUCAGCUUCAUAUGAACUACAGCUGCAAUUCAGGAAUCACAUCAACUCUCUUGGUACUAAAAUAGACUAAGUCUCCUCUACCAGUAGAUCCUGGAAUGACUGCAAUGUGAAGAUUAUUUACUGGUGGUUUUAGUACCUACUGCCAAUCAGCAGCCUUAUGAAUAAUCACCUAUUGCCAACCAAGAGACCUACAUGCAGACACUUUCUAGUCAAUAGUGACUCAUCAGCCAUCCAUCUCUCAGUACCAACCACUAAGAAAAGCUCAGAAGCUUCACUAGCAUGCAAUUCUCAGGAAGAACAAGCAGAAAGGUUAAAUUAAAUCUAAUCAGAAUGGCUGCUGAGAGAUUAAAUGCAAGGAAAAGCUUCCUAGUAGUAAGAGCAAUUAUAGAAUGGAACAACAGCCAAGAGGUCAUUGAAGCACAAUCUAUGGAAACAUUCAAAAAAGGAUCAGCCAAAACACUCAGAAGAACAAUUCAGGGGAAAACCUGCACUAGAUACAAAGUGGGAAAUUAUAACUUCUGACCAAUCUUUCUGGCAAUCAGGUUAGGUUUAUUAUGCAUCUUUUGUUUUUAAGAGGGAAACUGACAAACUGACAUCUUGUUAUUUUAAGAAGUUUUGUAGCACACACACCACACAAUAUUCAUCAACAUCAGGAACAGUAGGGUAAGGAUUUCGGCAUUGCAGAUCAGGCUAAGCACCAUAAAAACAAGUUAACAGUGUUGGGUAUUUCCAGAUGCAAAGCUGCCUCCUUCCCUUUUUUUUUUUUUUGGCGUGUGUGUUAAGUUAGUUCUACUGUGCUGUUCAUAGUGCAACAGUAUCACUGGAAAGGUCAAAUCUAAGGAACACCUCCUAAAACUGUCUCAGAAGCACUGAUUCAGCCAGGCAUCAUGAAAUGCAGGCAUAACAAGGGCUGGGUUCAGACACAAGAAGGAAUACAAAAAAAGAGAAGUGUGUUUUUUGUUUGAUGAAGUUAAAUAGAUGAUAAAAAGGAAGAUAAAGAAGGGGUCACAUUUCUUUUAGUACAUGAAUGCUCUCAACCAGUAUCCUUCUCCAUACUACAGAAUGAUUCAGUAGUUUCAUCUUCAGAUUCACCAUUGCAUUCUAAUACUUUGUUAGUGAAAAGAGACUAUGUAUGUUUCUAUAACAUGUGUGUGGAAUGUGAAAGUAUUGCACACUAGAUUACUUUUCCUAGCAAAGGCUUGAUGGCAUCCAAAAGGUGAGAUAUAAAUAUGUUCAACAUGUCUUUUAGUUUACACUGCACUAACAGCUAGCAUUUCUAGGUCACACAGAGCAGUACAUGAGAACACAAUGCACAAACCCACCAUCUCAAAAUUAGCAUCCCUGUAAAAAAAAGCAGCAGCACGUGAAUAUGAAGAUAAAAAACUAGAGAAUUAUUUAAAAAAUCAUUGUUGUUAUAAAAACACACAUUAUCUCCUAGGGAGAAAUGCAGGUUUUAUUUUCAUUCAUUUUAACCUACUUACCAAUUGGCUGAUCUGUCUGUAAGUAACGCAGUCUCCCUAACCAGGAGAAAAAGUCUGUUCCACCCACUGAGACAAUGGGACUAAUUAUGCAUUCUUUAUUCAGGCAAAACUCCCACAGACUUUAUGGGAGUUCCUGCAUUCUUUACUCUAGCUAUAUCAAGUCCUCUGCACUAUGUUUAUUUUAAACAUAGCCAAACUGUUGGUGUGAAAAUCUGGCUCCACUGAAGUCAAUGGGAGUUUUUCCACUGAAGUCAGUGGAAAAAGUAUUUCACACCCAGUGCCAGGUAAAGUGUGAAAAGUCAGACCUCUAUUUCAUGGCUAUGACCUCUUAGAUAGAGGACUCUUUUUAAAUUGGGAGAAGGACAUUUUAACCAUGGAACUGCAGCAUGCAAAUGAACUGAAGACAACUAUAUGACAGUUGCACUGCUCUCUCUCCAGUCAGCUCCCUUUCCUAGCCUGUAGUCAGGCUGAGGAUAGAGUCAGUCACCUGAACUUGUAGGCUUUCAGUCAAGGCAAACAAAUUCCUUAUGUCUGCAUGGACAGAGUAUAGCAAGAGUGAAGUUAAGCUGUUUCUGCCAUCAGUUGAGCAGAGCUAGGGUGACCAGAUGUCCCAAUUUUAUAGGGUAUUUUUCUUAUAUUAUAUUCAGAGCUUUUUCUUACAUAGGCAGCUAUUACCCCCCACCCCCUGUCCCGAUUUUUCACAUUUGCUAUCUGGUCACCCUAAGCAGAGGGCAGGUGAAGGGUACAUAAGAGGUAAAGCUUCUAGGGCUGUCAAGCGAUUAAAAAAAUUAAUCGUGAUUAAUCGUACUGUUAAACAAUAAUACAAUACCAUUCAUUUAAA